Molecule: ribosomal RNA, 510 nt
Filed under: uncultured bacterium
Lineage: Bacteria
Description: bacterial SSU rRNA
Rfam family: Bacterial small subunit ribosomal RNA
Source: RNAcentral
CCUGGCUCAGGAUGAACGCUAGCUACAGGCUUAACACAUGCAAGUCGAGGGGCAGCAUGUUGGUGCUGCAACCAAUGAUGGCGACCGGCGCACGGGUGAGUAACGCGUAUCCAACCUUCCCCUUAGUAGAGGAUAGCCCGGCGAAAGUCGGAUUAAUACUCUAUGUUGUAUUUUGAUGACAUCUGACGAAUACCAAAGAUUUAUCGCUAAGGGAUGGGGAUGCGUCUGAUUAGGUUGCAGGCGGGGUAACGGCCCACCUGGCCUACGAUCAGUAGGGGUUCUGAGAGGAAGGUCCCCCACACUGGUACUGAGACACGGACCAGACUCCUACGGGAGGCAGCAGUGAGGAAUAUUGGUCAAUGGGCGCGAGCCUGAACCAGCCAAGUAGCGUGCAAGGACGACUGCCCUAUGGGUUGUAAACUGCUUUUAUCAGGGAAUAAAGUGAGGCACGCGUGCCUUUUUGUAUGUACCCGAUGAAUAAGGACCGGCUAAUUCCGUGCCAGCCGCAGC